Molecule: transfer RNA, 86 nt
Filed under: bacterium
Lineage: Bacteria
Also listed under: 1 other name
Description: tRNA-Leu
Rfam family: tRNA
About the family: Transfer RNA (tRNA) molecules are approximately 80 nucleotides in length. Their secondary structure includes four short double-helical elements and three loops (D, anti-codon, and T loops). Further hydrogen bonds mediate the characteristic L-shaped molecular structure. tRNAs have two regions of fundamental functional importance: the anti-codon, which is responsible for specific mRNA codon recognition, and the 3' end, to which the tRNAs corresponding amino acid is attached (by aminoacyl-tRNA synthetases). tRNAs cope with the degeneracy of the genetic code in two manners: having more than one tRNA (with a specific anti-codon) for a particular amino acid; and 'wobble' base-pairing, i.e. permitting non-standard base-pairing at the 3rd anti-codon position.
Source: RNAcentral
GCCGGAGUGGCGGAACUGGUAGACGCAGCGGACUUAAAAUCCGCUGGGGAAUAAUCCCCGUGCCGGUUCGAGUCCGGCCUCCGGCA